Molecule: microRNA precursor, 89 nt
Filed under: Brachypodium distachyon (stiff brome)
Lineage: Eukaryota; Viridiplantae; Streptophyta; Magnoliopsida; Poales; Poaceae
Description: MIR9657 microRNA precursor family
Rfam family: MIR9657 microRNA precursor family
Source: Rfam by way of RNAcentral
GCGGCGCGCAGGCUGCGCUCGCCGGAGCAGCGUGCUGGGACCCUAUAUAUCCCGCGCGCUCCUUCGUCGAGUGUGGCCACCGACGCCGC